This 208-nucleotide long non-coding RNA is filed under the name Nicotiana benthamiana. RNAcentral describes it as "long non-coding RNA (NBEN_LNC000264)". Lineage: Eukaryota; Viridiplantae; Streptophyta; Magnoliopsida; Solanales; Solanaceae. The record is from RNAcentral.
CAUUAUGAUCCAUUCCCUGAAGUGAAUGUGAUAAUUGUAAUAAAUCCUGUAAGUAUGAACACGUUCUUGAUGUAAUUGUGUCUUAUGUCUGACAUUAUGAAAAGAUAGUUCGUUGCCCUUGAAAUUUCGGGCAAGAACUAUAUGGCAUGAGUGUUGGAUGCUGAAAUCCAUUUGGAUGCAAUGGGUCUUGGAGACGCCAUUAAAGACA